AUACGGAGGAUGCGAGCGUUAUCCGGAUUUAUUGGGUUUAAAGGGAGCGUAGGUGGGAUAUUAAGUCAGCUGUGAAAGUUUGGGGCUCAACCGUAAAAUUGCAGUUGAUACUGGGUGUCUUGAGUACAGUAGAGGCAGGCGGAAUUCGUGGUGUAGGGGGGUAAUGCUUAGAUAUCACGAAGAACUCCGAUUGCGAAGGCAGCCUGCUGGACUGUAACUGACGCUGAUGCUCGAAAGUGUGGGUAUCAAACAGGAUUAGAUACCCUGGUAGUCCACACAGUAAACGAUGAAUACUCGCUGUUUGCGAUAUACAGUAAGCGGCCAAGCGAAAGCGUUAAGUAUUCCACCUGGGGAGUACGCCGGCAACGGUGAAACUCAAAUGAAUUGACGGGG
RNAcentral lists this ribosomal RNA (393 nucleotides) under uncultured bacterium. Its description in RNAcentral is "partial 16S ribosomal RNA". It matches the Rfam family "Bacterial small subunit ribosomal RNA", at positions 523 to 918 of the family's 1533-position model. The record is from RNAcentral.